AGGACGAACGCUGGCGGCGUGCUUAACACAUGCAAGUCACGGGGGCCCGCAAGGGUAACCGGCGAACGGGUGCGUAACACGUGAGCAACCUACCGAGAUCUGGGGGAUAGCCGGCCCAACGGCCGGGUAAUACCGCAUACGCUCUUUCCACGGCAUUGUGGAUUGAGGAAACCUCCGGGGGAUUUCGAGGGGCUCGCGGCCUAUCAGCUAGUUGGCGAGGUCACGGCUCACCAAGGCGACGACGGGUAGCUGGUCUGAGAGGAUGGCCAGCCACAUUGGGACUGAGAAACGGCCCAGACUCCUACGGGAGGCAGCAGUGGGGAAUCUUGCGCAAUGGCCGAAAGGCUGACGCAGCGACGCCGCGUGUGGGAGGAAGCCUUUCGGGGUGUAAACCACUGUUGCCCGGGGACGAAACAGCUCCUUAGUGGAGCCUGACGGUACCGGGUGAGGAAGCGACCGGCUAACUCCGUGCCAGCAGCCGC
This 482-nucleotide ribosomal RNA is filed under the name uncultured soil bacterium. RNAcentral describes it as "bacterial SSU rRNA". It matches the Rfam family "Bacterial small subunit ribosomal RNA", at positions 26 to 518 of the family's 1533-position model. The record is from RNAcentral.